GCUGGCAAUAUUUUGUUGAUAUUAAUUCUCUAAAAAUAUGGAACGCUUCACGACUUUGCAUGUCAUCCUCGCGCAGGGGCCAUGCUAGCCUUCUCUGUAUCGUUCUAAUUUCAGUAUAUGUGCUGCUGA
Long non-coding RNA from Sapajus apella (tufted capuchin), 129 nucleotides. RefSeq lists it as uncharacterized. The transcript is spliced from 2 exons. The record is from RefSeq and is a predicted model, not a curated record. Lineage: Eukaryota; Metazoa; Chordata; Mammalia; Primates; Cebidae.